Tripterygium wilfordii is the source of this 2080-nucleotide RNA transcript. It is a transcript of the gene named vacuolar protein sorting-associated protein 35C-like, with no coding region annotated. The record is from RefSeq and is a predicted model, not a curated record. Lineage: Eukaryota; Viridiplantae; Streptophyta; Magnoliopsida; Celastrales; Celastraceae. The transcript is spliced from 5 exons.
GCCAUUCGUUAGGCUCAAAUUGGUCUGCUCCGAUUGAGUCGAGAGGGAGAGUCAGAGAGAAUGAUGAUGCUUAACGGAGGAGAAGACGAACAGAAAUGGUUCGCAGAGGGGAUCGCCGGCAUUCAACACAACGCAUUUUAGAUGGAUCGCGCUUUGGACGGGAACAACCUCAGAGAAGCUAUGAAGUACUCCGCUCAGACGCUGUUGGAGCUUUGAACUUCGAGUCUCUGUCCUCAAAAAUACUACGAACUCUGAAGCUGGAGAUGUUCUUCAAGGACGAAAGCAAGCAUGGCGUUACAGUCAUCGAUUUAUACGAACUCGUACAACAUGCUAGUAACAUACUGCCUAGAAUGACAAUGAUGAGGAGCAAAAACUCAGAUACUUGCAUUAGUUAUCAUAGAAGUUCUUCAUUGCUUGCUCUACACGCCCUUUGUAGCUUCCUGCUGUAUUUUUGCUAGAAUAAGCGAUGUAAGAAUGCCUUUGAAUUUUAGAUCUCUUUUGUGGCAGCUUCUUCAAAGUCGAACCUGAAAAACUGCUGGUUUUUGUUUUGAGUUUGACUUCUUCAGUUGCUUAUGUUUAAUAAGUAUUAAGACCCCCCCCCCCCUGGGUUCUGAUAUUAUUUCAUGCAUUAAAUGCUGUUUUCCAUUUCGAAACUGCACGAAGAAUUUUUGUCUAUGUGGGUGCAAGUGCAUAUAAAUCUUUGUGUAUUGACUUCGAAUCUGUAUUGUUGAUUUUUUUAUACUCUAAUGCUGUUUACGUGGUACAUAGGUGCUCUACGAUAUAGGAUUUGAUGUUAUUAGUGAAUAAUUGAUAAUCUACAUAUCUAGGCCGUAGAUUCCUAUCUAAUACUGUUAUACUAACUAAGUUUGAUGUUUACACUUACUUAUCUCCGAGCAUUUCCACCUAAAAUUUGUGUUGUUGUUUAAGAACAAAACAAAUUUUGAUAGCAGAUGUCAUCUCAUAUUCAGACAAUAACUUGAUGAAUUUGAUCUCUUUCAGAUCGUUAACUUUCAUUCUAGAUACUGAUGCUGUCAUGGAUGUUCAGAUUUAGUAAAUGUUGCAUAGCUCAUAUUUAGCCUGUUUUAAGGAACGAAACUUGUUUCCAGGACUCGAGGCCCAGGUGACAGCAAUACAUCUAAUUAUGAAUACUUUUGGUGUUGAGAACAUGGAUACUUUGACACAAAAGGUCACGGGUGUGAUGCUUGAGCCUUGAUCUAAUUUGGUUUUGCCAAUAUCUUUUCUUGAAUAUAUACACAUUCCUUUUGCCUCCUAUGGCCAGUAUUCUGCCAAGCUCUUGAAGAAACCUGAUCAGUGCAGAGCUGUUUAUGCUUGCUCACAUCUAUUUUGGGUUGAUGAUCAGGAUGCGAUCAAAGAUGGAAAAAGGUGCACUGCCUUUUGCUUAAAAUCCAUUCAAUAUUUUCUUUAUCCAAAAAACAAAAUGAUAAUGCUAACCUUUUAGUAUUGCUCUUGUUUUGGAAUGGUUACUCAUUAGUCAUAGAUGCGACCAGCCGACCCUAACUGAGGCUUUUGAUAAUCUUACGGUCCAGCUUUGAUGGCCAGUGUUACAAGGGGUAGUAGUGGGCCAGUCACACUGUUUGUUGAAAUACUAAACGAGUUGGUACUUUACUGUAUACCCUUUUGAAUGUGCUUUAGUUGCUGCUGUUUGAUUUAAUUACCAUUCAUUUAUGGGAUGCUUAAGGUAGGAAGAUAUCUCUACUUUUUUGAGAAGUACAGCCAUUCGUUGCAUUAAAUCACUAGUGAGAAAUAUGAUUCUUUUAAGGUCUGACUUUCUGGCAAUUUCACAAAUGAGGCCAACUAUGUUGAGCAAGCUGUUCAUUUAAUGGGGAAAAUGCUAGGGAAUGGCCGAAUUUGCCAUGUUGAAUGGCUCGCAUUUUGCCAGAGUACAGAGCAGGUAAGUAAACAUUGACGUCAUAUGUUCUCUAGUAAGAAUUCUUGUGAAUGGACGACUGGUUUGUGAAAUAGACAGUAAAAUCAAACUAGAGUGCAUCAGUCAUUGAAGUUGUGGAGUUCCAAUAAGUUGGAAGUUUGUGUUUCAUUUGAAACUCAUGAGCAUGUGGUA